This is a long non-coding RNA of Branchiostoma floridae (Florida lancelet), 1832 nucleotides long. RefSeq lists it as uncharacterized. NCBI's taxonomy places the organism in Eukaryota, Metazoa, Chordata, Leptocardii, Amphioxiformes, Branchiostomatidae. The transcript has 3 exons. The record is from RefSeq and is a predicted model, not a curated record.
UCCGAGUCCUCGUAUGAGGAUGUCCAAAAUUUAGAGGCACUCUUGAGCCAAUAAACCUUCACGCUGCUACCUAUAGUUCUACAAUAUAAACAUGAGUUUAAGGAACCCGAUGGAUUCUUUGUUACUUUUAUUGUAUUGCUGACAACCAAAAUUUUGAACCAGUCAGAGAAUAUCCAGUUAUUCUAAUGGAGUCAUUAUCCAAGUCAUUAUGAAUGGCCCAACGACGAGUUGACGAUAGCUUCCGCUGUUUUGAAUUACUGCAAGACAUAAUUAAAUAGCAUAUGUGGAAAAUUGCAAACCGGCAAAUCAAUCUACAGAUCUCAGUAUGCCAACCAGGGACAACACCACCGUCGGGAACACUAAGCGCACAAACAGUCCACCAGUUCUUAUCAGACGUGCAACUGCAAAGAAGUGGUACCGGUGUGCCGCUGAUGCUGCGACGUCUAAACAACUCGGCUGGGUGGGUGGAACAGGGCCCUUCAUACGUUCGACAUGUCGGCCCCUACAGCCUUCGGGCGCGACCCAGGAGCAACAGAUAAAAGAAAGUGCUGAGAUUCAUCAUCAGGUGCGACACGCCCUCAAGCACUUGGAACCAAAUCUGAAUAAAAGAUGUGCAGCCAAAGUUGCAAACUCAAUUGGGAGAUGGAGAAAUUGCUCCAUACUGUUGACACAGACCUAGGUGUAAGGUAAGGAAUUGGGUACCACCUCACCACAAGCCAGAUCACACUGCCGACAUACAGAGGCUUCGUGUUCAAUAUCAACAGGCCAAUGUGUUGGAUUUUACACCAGGCAUGGAGUACAGAUCUUUUUCUGGUAUGUAUAGAAACCCAAUGUCCAAACUGAAUACAGAUAAGAUGCUAGACUGGAUGCGAGAUAAACUGAAAUAUUAUUUUAUACAAUGGCUGUAUUACGGAAUGGACAAGCGAAAAUAUACGUGCAAGCACAUAGUUGGUUGACGUUUCAUCAAGAACUCCAGGGGAAGUAGCACUGAACCCUCCAAAGACACAGGAGGUUGGCGUUUCAUCAAGAACCACAUGGGAAGUAGCACUGAACCAUCCAAAGACACAGGAGGUUGGCGUUUCAUCAGGCUGUACACGCCACUGUGAAAGAACACUGCCCAUGGAAACACUACCAGUGUCUUGGCUGUGAGCAGGUGACACUGUACAGGCAGGAGCAUGCCAGGGAAUCUAUGCCAGGAGGGACCAUUUUUUAAACCUCAAACUUAUGCCUUAUGCAUUCUGCCAUUUAGCAACCGUCACUGAUGGAGAGUUUAGCACACUAAGGACACAGGGUGACCUCCGUCCUCUCCACCUGUGACAGCUCAUUCACGACGCCAAGGAAUGUAUGUCCAAUGACACACUUUGAAGAAAAUGCUGCAGAAUGAUGGCAAGCAAUGGCGACAAAUGCGGUUAGGUUCAUUUCCGGCCCAGGCCAAAUGGUUGAGUGCCCAUAUGAUAGGAAUCACAUCGUCAAGGGUGAACGUUUCAUCAGGCACAUCCUGAAGUGCAGGAGGAACUACAAUGGACCACCAUUGGUUGCUUGCAGUCACAGUGCUGCACACCUAAUGCCCCCCAGUGAGAUUGAUACCCACGAGGCCACUUGUCCAUAUGGUAUGUACUUUUAGUAGGUGAAAUUCCACUGUAGGCAUCUGUGUACUGUACAGUACCCCCUGCCCCGCGCACAUUGACAUGGGUACAUUACUGACUAUUACUUAUCAUACUGUCACAGUUGUUGUGUAGUGUUGGAACGUAGAAGAAGCUAAUGUUAUUUAUGACGGUGAAAACAUAGGUUGGAGUCCAGUUUUGUUAGCUUUGGUCCGCUCCCUAGGGUCG